CCCUAGCCCUGAUAGCAGUGGAAAUCCUUUUUUGUUUUUCCUUUAAAAACAAAAAAGAUUGCAACGGAUAGCAGGAUUAGCU
Molecule: small RNA, 82 nt
Filed under: Flavobacterium sp. 5
Lineage: Bacteria; Pseudomonadati; Bacteroidota; Flavobacteriia; Flavobacteriales; Flavobacteriaceae
Description: Flavo-1 RNA
Rfam family: Flavo-1 RNA
Source: RNAcentral